GUGCAGACGCGUCUGGGGCGUGAAGACAGCGAGUAUCUCGCCCGCUCGGUGCCGUUCUACGCCGCCAAUCAACCGCUGGCCGAUAUCAGUGAGAUGCGCGUGGUACAGGGAAUGGACGCCGGGCUUUAUCAAAAACUGAAACCGCUGGUCUGUGCGCUGCCGAUGACCCGCCA
Molecule: unclassified non-coding RNA, 173 nt
Filed under: uncultured Ascomycota
Lineage: Eukaryota; Fungi; Ascomycota
Description: sequence contains ITS1
Source: RNAcentral